This 445-nucleotide ribosomal RNA is filed under the name uncultured bacterium. RNAcentral's name for it is "partial 16S ribosomal RNA". It matches the Rfam family "Bacterial small subunit ribosomal RNA", at positions 354 to 796 of the family's 1533-position model. The record is from RNAcentral.
GUAGGGAAUAUUGGGCAAUGGAUGCAAGUCUGACCCAGCCAUCCCGCGUGCCGGAAGAAGGCCCUCAGGGUUGUAAACGGCUUUUGACGGUGAAGAACCGACAGGAUGCGUCCUGUUUUGACGGUAGCCGUUGAAUAAGCACCGGCUAACUCCGUGCCAGCAGCCGCGGUAAUACGGAGGGUGCGAGCGUUGUCCGGAUUUAUUGGGUUUAAAGGGUGCGUAGGCUGGAAGGUCAGUCAGCGGUGAAAAGCUAUCGCUUAACGAUAGUCUUGCCGCAGAUACUUCCUUUCUUGGAUGAGGAUGAGGCCACUGGAACGGAUGGUGUAGCGGUGAAAUGCAUAGAUAUCAUCCAGAACACCGAUUGCGAAGGCAGGUGGCUGUACCUUAAUCGACGCUGAUGCACGAAAGCAUGGGGAGCAAACAGGAUUAGAUACCCGGGUAGUCC